RNAcentral lists this long non-coding RNA (551 nucleotides) under Chloebia gouldiae (Gouldian finch). Its description in RNAcentral is "Erythrura gouldiae (Gouldian finch) lncRNA (ENSEGOG00005009652.1)". The record is from RNAcentral. Lineage: Eukaryota; Metazoa; Chordata; Aves; Passeriformes; Passeridae.
CUGCCCACCUCUCACAGCUCCUUCCCUUUCUUCUGCUGUCUGACUUGGCCCCGUCCCUCACUCUCGAUGUUAACCUUCCUCCCACACCUUCUGUGCUCUCCCUCCCCUCCAUUUUGCUUCCCUGUCACUCCAGCAGCAGAAAUCAAAGCACCACCCCUGUCCCCUGAUGGAAUUUCGGAGCCGCAUCAGCUGAGUGGGAAUCCAACCAGGAAAAGCAUCAGAAUUGAUUCUCAUGGAGGCCAAUACCAGCAAAUGACUUUAACUCCUCUUAAAGUAACUUUGAGUUGCUUGACCAGAUUUUCUGGAGACCAGCGCACAACCAUUAUGGCCAAGAUCAACCCUAGAGAAAGAAUAAACCUGAGCAGACAGAAGUUUUCCCAGGUCAGCUGUAAUGGAAAUGCCUACGCUGGACUGGAAGAGGAGAUCCUUCAGACCAAUCAAUCACAUCACUUCCAGAAUUGCUCGUUUGAGGUAAGAAAAACUAUAGUGAGGUUAUUUAGCCAUGUAAAUACUGGAUUUCCACUCAACCCUCUAAAGCAUGUUUCUCUGUC